AUCGCUUCUCAGCCUUUUGGCUAAGAUCAAGUGUAAAAUUUGUUUUGCUCAUAUUUUGUUGAGAUUUGUGCAUCAAUAUUCAAAAAGAAUGUUGGUCUUCAAUUAUCUUUU
Molecule: small nuclear RNA, 111 nt
Filed under: Suricata suricatta (meerkat)
Lineage: Eukaryota; Metazoa; Chordata; Mammalia; Carnivora; Herpestidae
Description: U2 spliceosomal RNA (ENSSSUG00005005492.1)
Rfam family: U2 spliceosomal RNA
About the family: U2 is a small nuclear RNA (snRNA) component of the spliceosome (involved in pre-mRNA splicing). Complementary binding between U2 snRNA (in an area lying towards the 5' end but 3' to hairpin I) and the branchpoint sequence (BPS) of the intron results the bulging out of an unpaired adenosine, on the BPS, which initiates a nucleophilic attack at the intronic 5' splice site, thus starting the first of two transesterification reactions that mediate splicing.
Source: Rfam by way of RNAcentral